AGUGAACGCUGACGGUAGGCCUAACACAUGCAAGUCGAACGGCAGCACAGUAAGAGCUUGCUCGUACGGGUGGCGAGUGGCGGACGGGUGAGGAAUACAUCGGAAUCUACUUUUUCGUGGGGGAUAACGUAGGGAAACUUACGCUAAUACCGCAUACGACCUACGGGUGAAAGAAGGGGAUCUUCGGACCUUGCGCGAUUGAAUGAGCCGAUGUCGGAUUAGCUAGUUGGCGGGGUAAAGGCCCACCAAGGCGACGAUCCGUAGCUGGUCUGAGAGGAUGAUCAGCCACACUGGAACUGAGACACGGUCCAGACUCCUACGGGAGGCAGCAGUGGGGAAUAUUGGACAAAGGGCGCAAGCCUGAUCCAGCCAUACCGCGUGGGUGAAGAAGGCCUUCGGGUUGUAAAGCCCUUUUGUUGGGAAAGAAAAGCAGCAGGUUAAUACCCCGCUGUUCUGACGGUACCCAAAGAAUAAGCACCGGCUAACUUCGUG
Molecule: ribosomal RNA, 492 nt
Filed under: uncultured bacterium
Lineage: Bacteria
Description: partial 16S ribosomal RNA
Rfam family: Bacterial small subunit ribosomal RNA
Source: RNAcentral